CUCCUGGAAGACCAUCGCCAAAUUUCAAAUUCCACGUACUUCCAACAUCGGUUCCAGUCGCCAUAUUGUGUGCUUGACUACUGAAAAAUAGUGCUGUUGAUAAGAUUAUCUGAAGUGAUUGUGGAUUUAUGUGGAGAUCAUAAAAAGUCUCUGCAGUAUAAAAGAUCAUACUGUUUGGCGCUUUGUCAGGAAGGGAAUGGCUGAUACUUGGAAGUUUUGGCGUUUGAAGGAAUUUUUGCUGAAGCCUAAUGAAUGAGGAUGAAUUUAUCACAGAUAAUGGAGGUAGAUGGACGACGAUGCUGGAGUGUAGAAGAAGCAUGAUUAUUAUACUCUGUUGCGAAUGGAAAAGUAUUCUACUGCAGCUCGUACAGUAAUGGAACUAAGAGGCACAAAUUCCAGUAACUAAUGUGGUUCAGGAUAAAUCUAGUAACCUCAGGUGAUAAAAUGUCUACAACAGAAUGCCCUGUGUAUUGCUCCUGCAGCCUGUUCCAUUGAUGUAACUAAAGUAUUUAAAAUAUUUUGGGACAGCAUGUUACAGAAAUUCUGUCUUGAAUAAUAAAUUACUCUAAUUUUAUCAACAAAAGUUUAAUAAAUUAAUCUGUGUUGUAAUGAACUGUAAAUUCAUAAAAAAGUUUAAUAAAUAUUAUAGUAA
Molecule: long non-coding RNA, 652 nt
Organism: Macrobrachium nipponense
Lineage: Eukaryota; Metazoa; Arthropoda; Malacostraca; Decapoda; Palaemonidae
Exons: 4
Source: RefSeq, a predicted model, not a curated record